CCCUUAGAUGUUCUGGGCCGCACGCGCGCUACACUGACGAUGUCAGAGAGUGUCUCCUUCCCCGAGAGGUGUGGGUAAUCUUUUAAACAUCGUCGUGCUGGGGAUAGAUCAUUGCAAUUUUUGAUCUUAAACGAGGAAUUCCUAGUAAGCGCGAGUCAUCAGCUCGCGCUGAUUACGUCCCUGCCCUUUGUACACACCGCCCGUCGCUACUACCGAUUGAAUGGUUUAGUGAGGCCUUCUGACUGGCGCCGCUACUCUGGCAACAGAGCGGCGGAUGCCGGGAAGUUGGUCAAACUUGAUCAUUUAGAGGAAGUAAAAGUCGUAACA
Molecule: ribosomal RNA, 327 nt
Filed under: uncultured eukaryote
Lineage: Eukaryota
Description: partial 18S ribosomal RNA
Rfam family: Eukaryotic small subunit ribosomal RNA
Source: RNAcentral